RNAcentral lists this long non-coding RNA (996 nucleotides) under Ictidomys tridecemlineatus (thirteen-lined ground squirrel). Its description in RNAcentral is "lncRNA (ENSSTOG00000030865.1)". The record is from RNAcentral. Lineage: Eukaryota; Metazoa; Chordata; Mammalia; Rodentia; Sciuridae.
CAAAUGCUGGCUAUAGCCAAUCAAGUUGUAUAACCUGUGCUUGUGGAGAGUUUGGGUGUGUUGAACCAUCUUUCAUGUGGAGUACUGCUGCUGUGUUCCCGAACUUUUUUUCUCAUUCACAUCAACUUUGUAAAUUUAACUGCUUUCGGGUUUUUAACCGUUUGGUGUAUAGCUGGCCAAUUGGAAGAAGGAGCUUGGAUCUUGUUUGGUACCCGCCAGGCCCCUCGAGCCCAUUGAUCUCUACUCGGCAACCAGAGCACCUGCAAAUAUUCACGAUGCUAGAACAGCAGAUGGCAACAGUGACAAAUGGUGUCUUGCGUAUCUGCGAGUAUGUCUUCGUGAAUGUGAGGCCAAAUCAGCAUGAGGUUAUUUGUGAGUUCAAGUUCAUAUGAUCAUGUGAGUAUGUAUGUGUAGGAGUGUGUACAUGUAUGUAUGUGAGUUUUAGUGUUGGAGAACAUGGAAGAGCAUUUGUGAGUGUGUAAACAUGGGAAUGUGUGUGAAUGAAUGUGUUAGACUGGUGAAGAUGUGUGAUCAAAUGUGAAAGUUCGUGUGCCUGAAAGUGUGUUUGUCAGUGUGUAUAAGAAGUGUGAGUGUGAUGUUGUGUGUAUGUGUGUAUGUGUGUCAGGGUGUUGAUGAAUGUGUAUGAGUGUUUACUAAUAUGUAACUGUGAGUGCAGGCAUGUGUAACUGGCUCUGAGUCCACCUCAGAUCCUUAUGUAGUCACCUCAUACCCAGAAGUCGCUGGGGAAAAGAUUCACCAUUGUUUCUCAAAAUAGGCUUCUCCUUUACUCUCCAUCUUCAGGAAAAGUGUCGUCGGUCAUCUUAUCACCCAAGCCAGAGAUAUAGGAAUUGUGCCAAUGUCAUUUCCCUUCCUUAUGCCAUAUAUCACCAAAGUUUACAUCAAUCCUGAUUGAUUCUGAGUUGAGGCCCUUUCUUCUUUCACCCAUGAAAGCCUCCUGGCUUGACAUCUUGCUUCUUGUCUUGAGACACUGGCUUA